GAGUUUGAUCAUGGUUCAGGAUGAACGCUAGCGGGAGGCCUAACACAUGCAAGUCGAACGGGAUUGAGAGCUUGCUCUCAUGAGAGUGGCGCACGGGUGAGUAACGCGUAUGCAACCUGCCUAUAACAGAGGGAUAGCCCAUAGAAAUGUGGAUUAAUACCUCAUAGUUCUGAGAAGUCGCAUGAUUUUUCAGAUAAAACUCCGGUGGUUAUAGAUGGGCAUGCGUGACAUUAGCUAGUUGGUAAGGUAACGGCUUACCAAGGCAACGAUGUCUAGGGGUUCUGAGAGGAUGAUCCCCCACACUGGUACUGAGACACGGACCAGACUCCUACGGGAGGCAGCAGUGAGGAAUAUUGGUCAAUGGGCGCAAGCCUGAACCAGCCAUCCCGCGUGCAGGAUGACGGCCCUAUGGGUUGUAAACUGCUUUUAUACACCAAGAAAAAACAGGACGAGUCUUGGUCUGACGGUAGUGUAUGAAUAAGCAUCGGCUAACUCCGUGCCAGCAGCCGCGGUAAUACGGAGGAUGCAAGCGUUAUCCGGAUUCAUUGGGGUUUAAAGGGUGCGUAGGCGGCUUUUUAAGUCAGUGGUGAAUCUUGCCGCUUAACGGUAAAAUUGCCUUGA
Molecule: ribosomal RNA, 621 nt
Filed under: uncultured Sphingobacteriaceae bacterium
Lineage: Bacteria; Pseudomonadati; Bacteroidota; Sphingobacteriia; Sphingobacteriales; Sphingobacteriaceae
Description: bacterial SSU rRNA
Rfam family: Bacterial small subunit ribosomal RNA
Source: RNAcentral